GAUGAACGCUGGCGGCGUGCCUAAUACAUGCAAGUCGAGCGAACAGAUAAGGAGCUUGCUCCUUUGACGUUAGCGGCGGACGGGUGAGUAACACGUGGGUAACCUACCUAUAAGACUGGGAUAACUUCGGGAAACCGGAGCUAAUACCGGAUAAUAUUUCGAACCGCAUGGUUCGAUAGUGAAAGAUGGUUUUGCUAUCACUUAUAGAUGGACCCGCGCCGUAUUAGCUAGUUGGUAAGGUAACGGCUUACCAAGGCGACGAUGCGUAGCCGACCUGAGAGGGUGAUCGGCCACACUGGAACUGAGACACGGUCCAGACUCCUACGAGAGGCAGCAGUAGGGAAUCUUCCGCAAUGGGCGAAAGCCUGACGGAGCAACGCCGCGUGAGUGAUGAAGGUCUUCGGAUCGUAAAACUCUGUUAUUAGGGAAGAACAUACGUGUAAGUAACUGUGCACGUCUUGACGGUACCUAAUCAGAAAGCCACGGCUAACUACGUG
This 497-nucleotide ribosomal RNA is filed under the name uncultured bacterium. RNAcentral's name for it is "partial 16S ribosomal RNA". It matches the Rfam family "Bacterial small subunit ribosomal RNA", at positions 28 to 507 of the family's 1533-position model. The record is from RNAcentral.